This 253-nucleotide ribosomal RNA is filed under the name uncultured bacterium. RNAcentral describes it as "partial 16S ribosomal RNA". It matches the Rfam family "Bacterial small subunit ribosomal RNA", at positions 524 to 776 of the family's 1533-position model. The record is from RNAcentral.
UACGGGGGGUGCGAGCGUUGUCCGGAAUCACUGGGCGUAAAGGGCGCGUAGGUGGCGUGAUAAGGGUGUGGUGAAAGCCCGGGGCUCAACCCCGGGUCUGCCAUGCCGACUGUCAGGCUAGAGUACUGUAGGGGCAGGCGGAAUUCCGGGUGUAGCGGUGGAAUGCGUAGAUAUUCGCAAGAACACCAGUGGCGAAGGCGGCUCACUGGCCCGAUACUGACGCUGAGGCACGAAAGCGUGGGGAGCAAACAGG